Molecule: ribosomal RNA, 1958 nt
Filed under: human gut metagenome
Description: bacterial LSU rRNA
Rfam family: Bacterial large subunit ribosomal RNA
Source: RNAcentral
UCAAGUUAUUAAGGGUGCAGGGCGAAUGCCUUGGCACUAGGAGCCGAUGAAGGACGUGAUAAGCUGCGAUAAGCUUCGGGGAGUUGCACGUAAACUUUGAUCCGAAGAUUUCCGAAUGAGGAAACUCACUUAGAGUAAUGUCUAAGUAUCGUUAAGUGAAUACAUAGCUUAGCGAGGGGAACCCGGGGAACUGAAACAUCUAAGUACCCGGAGGAAGAGAAAGAAAUUCGAUUCCGUAAGUAGCGGCGAGCGAACGCGGAACAGGCCAAACCAAUGAAGUUUACUUCGUUGGGGUUGCGGACAUAUCAUAAUGAAGAGGUAUCGUAGAAGAAGAGAGUUGGAAAGCUCCGCCACAGAUGGUAACAGCCCAGUAUUUUAAACGAGAAGACUUUAGAUAUGAUCCAGAGUACCACGGGACACGUGAAACCCUGUGGGAAGCAGGAGGGACCAUCCUCCAAGCCUAAAUACUACCUAGUGACCGAUAGCGUAUAGUACCGUGAGGGAAAGGUGAAAAGAACCCCGGGAGGGGAGUGAAAGAGAACCUGAAACCCUGCACUUACAAGCUGUAGGAGCACAUUAUUUGUGUGACUGCGUACUUUUUGUAGAACGGGCCAACGAGUUACGUUGUGUAGCAAGGUUAAGCACUUAAGGUGUGGAGCCGUAGCGAAAGCGAGUCUUAAAUGGGCGUCCAGUUACCCGACGUAGACCCGAAACCAGGCGACCUAUCCAUGAGCAGGUUGAAGCGAAAGUAAAAUUUCGUGGAGGACCGAACCCACGUACGUUGAAAAGUGCGGGGAUGACUUGUGGAUAGCGGUGAAAUUCCAAUCGAGCCUGGAGAUAGCUGGUUCUCCCCGAAAUAGCUUUAGGGCUAGCCUCAAGCUUAGAGAAACGGAGGUAGAGCACUGAAUGUCCUAGGGGGUAUUGCACUUACCGAAGACUAUCAAACUCCGAAUGCCGUUUUCUUUUACUUGGGAGUCAGACUGUGGGUGAUAAGAUUCAUAGUCAAAAGGGCAACAGCCCAGAUCGUCAGCUAAGGUCCCUAAAUGUACGUUAAGUGGUAAAGGAUGUGGGAUUGCACAGACAACCAGGAUGUUGGCUUAGAAGCAGCCACUCAUUUAAAGAGUGCGUAAUAGCUCACUGGUCGAGUGAUCCUGCGCCGAAAAUUUCCGGGGCUAAAACGUACUACCGAAGCUACGGCAUCAUUUAUGAUGGGUAGGGGAGCUUCGUAUGCAGGCUGAAGCAUGACCGUAAGGACAUGUGGACAGUAUACGAGUGAGAAUGUUGGCAUGAGUAGCGAGACGUGGGUGAGAAUCCCACGGGCCGUAAACCCAAGGUUUCCAGGGGAAGGUUCGUCCGCCCUGGGUUAGUCGGGACCUAAGCCGAGGCCGAAAGGCGUAGGUGAUGGACAACAGGUUGAUAUUCCUGUACCACCAAUAACCGUUUGAGAAAUGGGAUGACACAGUAGGAUAAGCUAACCGCACUGUUGGUUAUGUGCGGGCAAGUAUUGAGGCAGUUCCGAUAGGCAAAUCCGUCGGAAUAAUGCUGGGGUACGAUGCGGAGCGAAAUUUAGUAGCGAAGUAGCUGAUUUCACACUGUCGAGAAAAGUCUCUAUCGAGGUUAAAGGUGCCUGUACCGCAAACCGACACAGGUGGGUGAGGAGAGUAUCCUAAGGCCAGCGAGAGAACUGUUGUUAAGGAACUCGGCAAAAUGACCCCGUAACUUAGGGAGAAGGGGUGCCUUCGAAAGAAGGCCGCAGAGAAUAGGCCCAAGCGACUGUUUACCAAAAACAUAGGUUUCUGCUAAGUCGCAAGACGAUGUAUAGGAGCUGACGCCUGCCCGGUGCUGGAAGGUUAAGGGGAUCUGUUAGAGCAAUCGAAGCAGUGAACUUAAGCCCCAGUAAACGGCGGCCGUAACUAUAACGGUCCUAAGGUAGCGAAAUUCCUUGUCGGGUAAGUUCC